GAGACACGGUCCAGACUACUACGGGAGGCAGCAGUGGGGAAUAUUGCACAAUGGGCGGAAGCCUGAUGCAGCAACGCCGCGUGCGGGAUGACGGCCUUCGGGUUGUAAACCGCUUUCGCCUGUGACGAAGCGUGAGUGACGGUAAUGGGUAAAGAAGCACCGGCUAACUACGUGCCAGCAGCCGCGGUAAUACGUAGGUGGCAAGCGUU
This 209-nucleotide ribosomal RNA is filed under the name Entomoneis paludosa. Its description in RNAcentral is "Amphiprora paludosa partial Bacterial small subunit ribosomal RNA". It matches the Rfam family "Bacterial small subunit ribosomal RNA", at positions 321 to 542 of the family's 1533-position model. The record is from RNAcentral. Lineage: Eukaryota; Bacillariophyta; Bacillariophyceae; Surirellales; Surirellaceae.